This is a long non-coding RNA of Chroicocephalus ridibundus (black-headed gull), 266 nucleotides long. RefSeq lists it as uncharacterized. The record is from RefSeq and is a predicted model, not a curated record. The transcript is spliced from 3 exons. Lineage: Eukaryota; Metazoa; Chordata; Aves; Charadriiformes; Laridae.
GCAGCGCCUCGGCGGCAGGAGGGAGCCUCCCGGGAGCCACACGCAAAACAAAACAAGGGCAAGGUGUUGCUUUUCUCGUCAUACCACCCUCUGCUAGCGGGUGAAUCCCAUCGGUUGCAUCCUUCUCUGCAGAAGCAGGCCUGACUCCCUCUCCGGCAGGCUGGUGUCCCGCUGCUGACUUCUGAACCAGAAUAUCUGCAUUUUGGACAUGAAUGGAAAGAUAAACAAAUCUUCAAGAUGGAAGCUGAAAAAAUCAAGGGGAUGAG